This 294-nucleotide unclassified non-coding RNA is filed under the name Basidiomycota sp. RNAcentral's name for it is "partial contains small subunit ribosomal RNA, internal transcribed spacer 1, and 5.8S ribosomal RNA". The stretch from base 1 to 47 matches the Rfam family "Eukaryotic small subunit ribosomal RNA", at positions 1785 to 1831 of the family's 1831-position model. Lineage: Eukaryota; Fungi; Basidiomycota. The record is from RNAcentral.
AAAGUCGUAACAAGGUUUCCGUAGGUGAACCUGCGGAAGGAUCAUUAUUGAAAACAUUGUAAAGGAGAGUUGAGCUGGUCCUUCUAGGGCAAGUGCUUGCUUUUCUUUCAAUCUUCAUCCACCUGUGCACCUUUUGUAGAGAGUUUUGACAACAAGAGCCUCCGGGCUCUCUAGUAAUUGAGGCUCUCUAUGUCUUUACACACUCUAAAUGUAUGUCAUUGAAUGUCUUUUAUAAGGAACUUAAUUGUACCUUUAAAAACUAUACAACUUUCAGCAACGGAUCUCUUGGCUCUC